AGCAGUCGCCGCGGGAAUACGGAGGGUGCAAGCGUUGUCCGGAUUUAUUGGGUUUAAAGGGUGCGUAGGCGGCCUAAUAAGUCAGUGGUGAAAGCCUCCAGCUUAACUGGAGAACUGCCAUUGAUACUGUUGGGCUUGAGUAUACUUGAGGUAGGCGGAAUUGACAGUGUAGCGGUGAAAUGCAUAGAUAUUGUCAAGAACACCAAUUGCGAAGGCAGCUUACUAAAUUAUAACUGACGCUGAGGCACGAAAGCGUGGGGAGCAAACAGGAUUAGAUACCCGAGUAGUCCCUGUCUCUUAUAU
Molecule: ribosomal RNA, 303 nt
Filed under: uncultured bacterium
Lineage: Bacteria
Description: partial 16S ribosomal RNA
Rfam family: Bacterial small subunit ribosomal RNA
Source: RNAcentral